GACGAACGCUGGCGGCGUGCUUAACACAUGCAAGUCGAACGGAAAGGCCCUGCUUUUGUGGGGUGCUCGAGUGGCGAACGGGUGAGUAACACGUGAGUAACCUGCCCUUUACUUUGGGAUAACUUCAGGAAACUGGGGCUAAUACCGGAUAGGAGCUCCUGCUGCAUGGUGGGGGUUGGAAAGUUUCGGCGGUUGGGGAUGGACUCGCGGCUUAUCAGCUUGUUGGUGGGGUAGUGGCUUACCAAGGCUUUGACGGGUAGGCGGCCUGAGAGGGUGACCGGCCACAUGGGGACUGAGAGACGGCCCAGACUCCUACGGGAGGCAGCAGUGGGGAAUAUUGCACAAUGGGGGGAAGCCUGAUGCGGAAACGCCGCGUGCGGGAUGACGGCCUUCGGGUUGUAAACCGCUUUCGCCUGUGACGAAGCGUGAGUGACGGUAAUGGGUAAAGAAGCACCGGCUAACUACGUG
This 468-nucleotide ribosomal RNA is filed under the name uncultured bacterium. RNAcentral describes it as "partial 16S ribosomal RNA". It matches the Rfam family "Bacterial small subunit ribosomal RNA", at positions 28 to 507 of the family's 1533-position model. The record is from RNAcentral.